AUUAGAGGUGUGUAUUUAAAAUUUCUCUUUUUUGAUAGGGUUAGAAAUUUUUUCUUGAUAUUUUUCAAUUUAUAGUAAAAAAGUAAUAUUAUAGUCGAACUUCAAAUCUCUAAUAUGACAUCAUCAAUCGGCUAGAAUUUGAAAAAAGAAAUAUUGAAUAUACAUAAUUUUUUCAAAGUUAAAAAAUUAGUAAAAGUACAAUAUCAUAAGAAAUAGUUUUUAGUCUGCAAGAUAAAAACUAAAGUUGAUAAAAAAUAAAAAUAAAACCAAAUGAAUCGGUAAAUAGUAUGUGAUUACGACAGUGGUCAAAAUUCAGAUGAUGAAUUUUGGAGAAGAGGUUUUUAUUUCUUUCUUUUGGAUGCGUAAUAAUAGUGGAGAAGAGUUAGGUUUUUUUUUUAUCAAAAUAAGAGUUAGGUUUUAGUAAAGUGGAAGUUCUUUUUUUUUUUUUUUUCUUUUUUUCCCUAAUAAUUGAUGGAUGUUUUUGUAAUUAAAC
This 493-nucleotide long non-coding RNA is filed under the name Fragaria vesca (wild strawberry). RNAcentral's name for it is "long non-coding RNA (FVES_LNC004029)". The record is from RNAcentral. Lineage: Eukaryota; Viridiplantae; Streptophyta; Magnoliopsida; Rosales; Rosaceae.